RNAcentral lists this small nuclear RNA (273 nucleotides) under Sorex araneus (European shrew). RNAcentral describes it as "7SK RNA (ENSSARG00000018951.1)". It matches the Rfam family "7SK RNA". Rfam says of the family: 7SK was discovered as an abundant small nuclear RNA in the mid-70s but a possible function has only recently been suggested. Two independent studies have found that 7SK RNA binds the CDK9/cyclin T complex (known as elongation factor P-TEFb). The record is from RNAcentral. Lineage: Eukaryota; Metazoa; Chordata; Mammalia; Eulipotyphla; Soricidae.
GGACCAAGAGGGCGAUGUGGCUGCAACAUGUCACUCCAGUGAUUGAUUCAGCUGAUCUGACUGGCUAGGCAGGUGUCCCUUUUCCCCCUCACCAUCCAUGUGUGUCCCUCCCCAAAUCCUUAUGCUUGAUCAAAGAGGAUGGUUUUCCCAAAAUAGUGAAUACUCUUUGGUUGAGGGAAUAUGAGAGCUCCCUGCCUGAACCUCCAAACAAAUUCCCAAUUUUAGAGCUGAGAACUAGAAGACUUCAGUUAAUCACUUGCCUUGGGAUAUAUU